ACUGAGACAAGGGCCCAGGCCCUACGGGGCGCAGCAGUCGCGAAAACUUUGCAAUAAGCGAAAGCUUGACAGGGCUAUCCCGAGUGCCAUCCGCUGAGGAAGGCUUUUACCCAGUCUAGAACGCUGGGGGAAUAAGGAGAGGGCAAGUCUGGUGUCAGCCGCCGCGGUAAUACCAGCUCUCCGAGUGGUGUGGAUGUUUAUUGGGCCUAAAGCAUCCGUAGCUGGCUAGGUCAGUCCCUUGUUAAAUCCACCGAAUUAAUCGUUGGAUUGCGGGGGAUACUGCUUGGCUAGGGGACGAGAGAGGCAGACGGUAUUUUCGGGGUAGGGGUGAAAUCCUAUAAUCCCGGGAAGACCACCAGUGGCGAAGGCUGUCUGCUAGAACGCGC
This 386-nucleotide ribosomal RNA is filed under the name uncultured crenarchaeote. RNAcentral's name for it is "bacterial SSU rRNA". It matches the Rfam family "Archaeal small subunit ribosomal RNA", at positions 302 to 690 of the family's 1478-position model. Lineage: Archaea; Thermoproteati; Thermoproteota. The record is from RNAcentral.